AACGAACGCUGGCGGCAGGCCUAACACAUGCAAGUCGAGCGAGACCUUCGGGUCUAGCGGCGGACGGGUUAGUAACGCGUGGGAACGUGCCCUUCUCUGCGGAAUAGCCACUGGAAACGGUGAGUAAUACCGCAUACGCCCUUCGGGGGAAAGAUUUAUCGGAGAAGGAUCGGCCCGCGUUAGAUUAGAUAGUUGGUGGGGUAACGGCCUACCAAGUCUACGAUCUAUAGCUGGUUUUAGAGGAUGAUCAGCAACACUGGGACUGAGACACGGCCCAGACUCCUACGGGAGGCAGCAGUGGGGAAUCUUAGACAAUGGGCGCAAGCCUGAUCUAGCCAUGCCGCGUGUGUGAUGAAGGUCUUAGGAUCGUAAAGCACUUUCGCCAGGGAUGAUAAUGACAGUACCUGGUAAAGAAGUCCCGGCUAACUCCGUG
This 433-nucleotide ribosomal RNA is filed under the name uncultured bacterium. RNAcentral's name for it is "bacterial SSU rRNA". It matches the Rfam family "Bacterial small subunit ribosomal RNA", at positions 29 to 507 of the family's 1533-position model. The record is from RNAcentral.